This 465-nucleotide ribosomal RNA is filed under the name uncultured bacterium. RNAcentral's name for it is "partial 16S ribosomal RNA". It matches the Rfam family "Bacterial small subunit ribosomal RNA", at positions 28 to 507 of the family's 1533-position model. The record is from RNAcentral.
GACGAACGCUGGCGGCGUGCUUAACACAUGCAAGUCGAACGGAAAGGCCCUGCUUGCAGGGUACUCGAGUGGCGAACGGGUGAGUAACACGUGGGUGAUCUGCCCUGCACUUCGGGAUAAGCCUGGGAAACUGGGUCUAAUACCGGAUAGGAGCCAUUUUUAGUGUGAUGGUUGGAAAGUUUUUUCGGUGUAGGAUGAGCUCGCGGCCUAUCAGCUUGUUGGUGGGGUAAUGGCCUACCAAGGCGGCGACGGGUAGCCGGCCUGAGAGGGUGGACGGCCACGUUGGGACUGAGAUACGGCCCAGACUCCUACGGGAGGCAGCAGUGGGGAAUAUUGCACAAUGGGCGCAAGCCUGAUGCAGCGACGCCGCGUGGGGGAUGACGGCCUUCGGGUUGUAAACUCCUUUCGCUAGGGACGAAGCUUUUUGUGACGGUACCUGGAUAAGAAGCACCGGCUAACUACGUG